Molecule: transfer RNA, 71 nt
Filed under: Ipomoea nil (Japanese morning glory)
Lineage: Eukaryota; Viridiplantae; Streptophyta; Magnoliopsida; Solanales; Convolvulaceae
Rfam family: tRNA
About the family: Transfer RNA (tRNA) molecules are approximately 80 nucleotides in length.
Source: Rfam by way of RNAcentral
UCCGUUGUAGUCUAGUUGGUUAGGAUACUGGCUCUCACCGAGAGACCCGGGUUCAAUUCCCGGCAACGGAA